Molecule: long non-coding RNA, 3666 nt
Filed under: Gopherus agassizii (Agassiz's desert tortoise)
Lineage: Eukaryota; Metazoa; Chordata; Testudines; Testudinidae
Description: lncRNA (ENSGAGG00000011361.1)
Source: RNAcentral
GUAAAUGGCACACCAGCUCCAGCUCUCAUUGUGUUCCUCUUUCACCACCCAUCCCUGCAGGACGCAGGCACCAUUUACAGCCACAUGAGUGUUCCCACUUCCCAGAUACCUGCCGAGGUGCCGGGAUGGCUCCAGGUUGGGCAAAGUUUGGGUGCCCUGGCUCCAUUCCUCCCACGGAGGGUUGUGGGUACCUCACCACCCCUGCAUGCGUGUGGUCGGCUGCUCCCAUGAUGCCUGUGUGCGGAUCUGCCUUUGGAAUGCUAUCCUCCAUCCUGCGCCCAGUGUACAUGAGAAAGGACCAGGCAGCGUGACCAACAUGGAGCUGGAAGGGAGCCGAGCUGCCCUGGAAGAGGAGGAGGAGGAGGAUGGCACCAAAUACAAUCUGGAGACAACGGAGCCGCCGUCCUGUCCUGAGACUGCAGGCGCCCGGGCAAAGGACCAAUGCGAUUCCCUACUGGACUCCAUCGACGCUCAGCUCAGCCAGCUGCUGGGCCCUGGUGCAGGAGUCGCAGGUGGUUGCAUGAAUGGAGACACCUCCUUGGAAUGCUCCCCCAAGGCCUCCUGGACAGCAGAGAUGGAAGGAUGCUGUGCAAACCAGGACGGCACCUCCUGGGGCGAAGCCAGCUCCUCUCGGAAGGAGGAGUACGGCUGGAGGCUGAUGCAUCUCCUUGGCUCCAAGCAAGCCCCGGAGACCCUGGGGGACCGAAGUGACUCGAAUUCCAUCUGCACGGAGGACUUUGCUGCCAGGUUUCGGGAAGGCAUGGUCGACCCCCUGGUGAAUUCUGAUGAGGAAGGGGAUGUGCCAGCUGGGAGUUUCCCAGCCAGAGACCCUGCUGAAGAAGGGCACAUCACGGGAAUCAAAGCCAGGCCUGCUGGUCUCUGCCCCACCGUGGAGGCGUGUGGGCCUGCUGCAGAGGGCUUCAUGCUCAGUACAGUGAGGAAGCAGCACAUCCUGCAGCGGUUUGAGGAGGGGCUAGAAGAGAACUCAGCCCUGGCUUUGUCCAGCAGCAUGGAAGGACCCCAGUCCCUGAGCUCUAGGACCAGGAGAGAGAGCCUGGAGUCUCUGGGGGGCAGGAUAUCCAGGCUGAGCCGGAGCAACACCAUGGACACCCCAAGCAGCACAGACAUGGGAAAAGCCAGCGCCACAGGAGGCCGGGCUCCUGGACUAGCUCUGCCUGAGCGGGUGGAGACCUCAGAGGAAAGCAUUCCUUGGCUCCUGGAGGGCUCUUCCAGAUGGGGCCAGAACUCCUGGGAAAACUCCCUACCUUUCAGCAGCCCAUUGCUCGUGGAGGAGCUGUGUCCCAGCCAGCCAUUCAGAGAUCUGGGUGCUGGUGCCGGCACGAGAGCCUGGGCCAGAGAGUCCCACCCUGUGAGGACAGCUCCGAGUCCGUCCGGGAGGAGACAAACUGCAUAUGGACACAUCUGGUCCAACAGUCCCUCUCACUUCGCACCCACAGCAGCCUACGGCAGCCCUUCCCUGGCUUCCAAAGGGGAGAAGAGCCCCCAGCUAAUAGCAUCCCCCUGCCCCGACCAAAGGCUGCCCCCGGAGAAGCUGGGAGAUCAGAGCUCAGCUUUGCAAGGGUUUAGUGCCACAACACAGCUGGCUAGUAGCCCUGAAAGCGCCCAGACACCCCCAGCUGUGGUUAGUGAUGGCUGCGUGGUGAUGCAGGGUGGGGUUGGUUCAGGAGAUCCUGAGAGGGAGGCCCCAGAGCUGCUGCAACAGGGGUCAGUGAUUCCCCAGAGACUGUCUGGAAGGGGCAUCACUCAUGCUGCGGCUAGCGGAGGCAGGGAGGGAACCUGGCGGAGCUGGGAGCUGCAGGCUGGGCCAGCGGAGAGGGGAGUUCGUGGCCUGACACUGUGCGUCCCCGUCACCAGUUUCGACACCGUCACCAUCGACAGUGACCUGGACUCGGUGAGGACGGAGACAGUCCAGGUUCACCUCCGCAAGGCCGUCGGCUGCCGGAGAGCUCCAGGCUGCAGCACCAAGGGGCCCCGCUGCCCACGGAGAGACUCGUUGGGGUGCCUGGGCUCCAGCAGUGCAGUCACUGAGGAAGAGGAGGAGGCGGAGGAAGAGUUCCUGUGGUCUCGUGGCAGUGCCGACUGGAGGAGCAGCAGCCCUGUGAGGUGGAGCUCAAUGCCACGCAGGACAGAAUCCAGUUGGGAGGAUACCAGGAAGGAAGCCUGCACGGAGCACCAGGACCUGGGCACUGAAGAGGAGAGGCUGUUGCAGAGGAAAUCCCAGCUACACGAGGCUGACUUGUCCCUGAGUGACAUCCUGGGUCAGAAAAAGCGCGCGGUCCAGGACCUGGAGUCGCUGCAUGGAGCCUUGGAGAGAAGCCAGAAGGAGGCAGAGACGCUGGAGUCCUGCCUGAAGGAGACUCGAAGCAAAGCGGAUGAAGCCAGGGCAGACCUGCUGCUGCUGCAGUACAGACGGGACUCCUGCCUGCGGGAGCUGCCGGAGCUGGAGAAGGAGCUGAGUGUGCUGAGACAGCAGCACUCCACCAUGCACAGCACCCAGCUAGGGGCCUUCCAGGCCGAGGUCUCCUCACUAGCGGCCGAGCGGGAGGAGCUGAAGGCCCGUGUGCGUCACCUGGAGGGCAGCUUGUCCUUCCUGGAGCACCAGCUGAGCUGCUGCAAGGCAGAGUUGUUCUCUGAGCAGCGGGCAGCCAGAGCCAGCAUCGAGGAGCUGCAGGAGUGCCUGGAGGAAGCUCAGAACAAGCUGGAGGAGAGGACAGCAGAGGGGACAGAGCUCCAGGAGGAGACCACGCGACUGAGACUGCAGCUCAGGGAGCUGGAGAGGAAGCAGGCAGCAGCUCUGAGUGGGCAGAUCCGAGACCUCCGAGUGCAGGAGACGGAGCAGGAGCUGAGACUCUCUGCUCUGAAGAAGAUCCUGUCGGAGAAGGAGCUAGAGCUGGUGAGGCUGCGAGAGGUCAUCUGUGCCCUGACGGCCGAGAAGGAAGCUCAGCAACGCGCUAUGGAGAACCUGAGAGAAGAACAUGACAGGCAGCUGGGGAAGAUGCAGCAGGAGAAGUUUGCAGAGAGUUUGGAGCACGUGAAGGCCAGGGCCCUCCAGGAUCAAGCCGCCUCCUUCCAGAAGGAAGUGGAGAAUCUCAUCAGGGUGAUCAAGGACCGAGAUGAAGAGGUUCGGAGGCAGCGGGAGACCAUGCAGCAACAGAAGGAGUCUACACAGCAGCUGGUCAGAGAGCUGAAGCAGGAAGCCAAGGAGAUGGUUCAGAGUGCUCUGCUUCAGGAGCAAAGGAAGUGGGAGGCUGAGAAGAGGGAAGCCCUCCAGGUGCAGUGUAGGACACUGGAAGAGCAGAGCCAGAGAUCGCAUGCGGAGGCCCUGGACAAAGAGAGGAGGACGGUGUCAGUUUUGCAGAAUAAAACCCUGGAGUACCAGCAGAGGCUCUGACUUCUAAGACACUUCGCAGAGCUAGGAAAUGAAAUGUUCCCCUGACUCUGCUGAUCUGGCACAAUCAUCGUUUCCAGGGAGCUGCAAAGAGGUGCCAUGGUUAUGAUUCUUUUUGAAGGAGCCUGUAGCAUCAAAAAAUGGCUGGCAAAAUAUUCUGCGAUUUUCCAGUGGCUCCAGAGUGAUGGGGAGGUACUGGCAGAGCUUAUGGGUUCAGGAUUACUACUGCUACUAAUUGUGUGAUGUAUCCAGGGUAC